Molecule: ribosomal RNA, 301 nt
Filed under: uncultured bacterium
Lineage: Bacteria
Description: partial 16S ribosomal RNA
Rfam family: Bacterial small subunit ribosomal RNA
Source: RNAcentral
CAGCCGCCGCGGGAAUACGGAGGGUGCAAGCGUUACUCGGAAUUACUGGGCGUAAAGCGUGCGUAGGUGGUGGUUUAAGUCCGUUGUGAAAGCCCUGGGCUCAACCUGGGAAUUGCAGUGGAUACUGGGUCACUAGAGUGUGGUAGAGGAUAGUGGAAUUUCCGGUGUAGCGGUGAAAUGCGUAGAGAUCUGGAGGAAUACCGAUGGCGAAGGCAGCCAUCUGGCCUAAUACUGACGCUGAGGUACGAAAGCAUGGGGAGCAAACAGGAUUAGAUACCCCGGUAGUCCCUGUCUCUUAUAC